GCGGACGGGUGAGUAACACGUGGAUAACCUACCUAUAAGACUGGGAUAACUUCGGGAAACCGGAGCUAAUACCGGAUAAUAUAUUGAACCGCAUGGUUCAAUAGUGAAAGACGGUUUUGCUGUCACUUAUAGAUGGAUCCGCGCCGCAUUAGCUAGUUGGUAGGGUAACGGCUUACCAAGGCACGAUGCGUAGCCGACCUGAGAGGGUGAUCGGCCACACUGGAACUGAGACACGGUCCAG
Molecule: ribosomal RNA, 241 nt
Filed under: uncultured Staphylococcus sp.
Lineage: Bacteria; Bacillati; Bacillota; Bacilli; Caryophanales; Staphylococcaceae
Description: partial 16S ribosomal RNA
Rfam family: Bacterial small subunit ribosomal RNA
Source: RNAcentral